RNAcentral lists this ribosomal RNA (1243 nucleotides) under metagenome. RNAcentral's name for it is "bacterial LSU rRNA". It matches the Rfam family "Bacterial large subunit ribosomal RNA", at positions 1564 to 2817 of the family's 2925-position model. The record is from RNAcentral.
UGAAUACGAGACGCUAAGGCGUCGAAGUAGUGUAUGUCAUACUUCCAAGAAAAGCUUGCACUGUCAUAGAUAAAAAACGCCUGUACCAUAACCGACACAGGUGGGUAGGUAGAGUAUACUAAGGGGCGCGAGAUAACUCUCUCUAAGGAACUCGGCAAAAUAACUCCGUAACUUCGGGAGAAGGAGUGCCUUAUUCUUAAGGUUGCAAUAACAAGAUCCAUCAACUGUUUAUCAAAAACACAGGUCUCCGCUAAGUCGUAAGACGAUGUAUGGGGGCUGACGCCUGCCCAGUGCCAGAAGGUUAAAGAAGCUGGUUUGCAUUUGCGAAGCUAGUAACUGAAGCCCUGGUGAACGGCGGCCGUAACAAUAACGGUCCUAAGGUAGCGAAAUUCCUUGUCGGGUAAGUUCCGACCCGCACGAAAGGCGUAAUGAUUUGGAUACUGUCUCGGAGAGGGGCUCGGUGAAAUAGACUUGUCUGUGAAGAUGCGGACUACCUGCACCAGGACAGAAAGACCCUAUGAAGCUUUACUGUAACUUGAAAUUGAAAUUGGACUUUAUUCGCGCAGUAUAGGUGGGAGGCGUUGAUUAUAAUCUUGCGAGAUUAUUGGAGCCAUUAGUGAGAUACCACUCUUGUAAUGUUAGAUUUCUAACUUUGAAUCAUUAUCUGGUCAAAGAACAGUUUCAGGCGGGCAGUUUGACUGGGGCGGUCGCCUCCCAAACGGUAACGGAGGCGUACAAAGGUUUCCUCUGAACGGUUAGAAAUCGUAUCUAGAGUGUGAAGGCAUAAGGAAGCUUGACUGUGAGACCUACAAGUCGAGCAGGGACGAAAGUCGGUCUUAGUGAUCUGACGGUACUGAGUGGAAAGGCCGUCACUCAACGGAUAAAAGUUACUCUAAGGAUAACAGGCUGAUCUCCCCCAAGAGUUCACAUCGACGGGGAGGUUUGGCACCUCGAUGUCGGCUCAUCGCAUCCUGGGGCGGUAGUACGUCCCAAGGGUUGGGCUGUUCGCCCAUGAAAGCGGUACGCGAGCUGGGUUCAGAACGUCGUGAGACAGUUCGGUCCAUAUCCGGUGUAGGCGUUAGAAUAUUGAGAGGAGCCUUCUUUAGUACGAGAGGACCGAGAAGGACAUACCUCUGGUGUACCAGUUAUCGUGCCAACGGUAGACGCUGGGUAGCUAUGUAUGGAGUGGAUAACCGCUGAAAGCAUCUAAGUGGGAAGCCCACCUCAAGAUAAGUAUUCUCAC